UAACAAUUCGAUGAAUUCCUAGUUGGUAGACCAGACUGAGCCAGACGCAUAUAUUAACGGCUGUCUGCUGCUGAUGUGAGCCUGCUCAAUGCGGUGGAAAUGAAGGAUCACCUAGUCUCUGACACCAGCUUAUUUGCAUCUUCAGAGUUUGUUGGAUGCUGCGUCAUUCCAUUCCUUGGCAACACUAGAGUUAUUCUAACCUGAUUGUAAGAAUGUACUGUAAAGGCAAGAUAUUCCCCAUUCAAGGAAGGAGGGG
Grus americana (Whooping crane) is the source of this 256-nucleotide long non-coding RNA. RefSeq lists it as uncharacterized. The transcript has 3 exons. Lineage: Eukaryota; Metazoa; Chordata; Aves; Gruiformes; Gruidae. The record is from RefSeq and is a predicted model, not a curated record.